AGAUUAGCCAUGCAUGUCUAAGUAUAAGCAACUUGUACUGUGAAACUGCGAAUGGCUCAUUAAAUCAGUUAUCGUUUAUUUGAUAGUACCUUACUACAUGGAUACCUGUGGUAAUUCUAGAGCUAAUACAUGCUAAAAACCCCGACUUCAGGAAGGGGUGUAUUUAUUAGAUAAAAAACCAACGCCCUUCGGGGCUCCUUGGUGAAUCAUAAUAACUUAACGAAUCGCAUGGCCUUGCGCCGGCGAUGGUUCAUUCAAAUUUCUGCCCUAUCAACUUUCGAUGGUAGGAUAGUGGCCUACCAUGGUGGCAACGGGUAACGGGGAAUUAGGGUUCGAUUCCGGAGAGGGAGCCUGAGAAACGGCUACCACAUCCAAGGAAGGCAGCAGGCGCGCAAAUUACCCAAUCCCGAUACGGGGAGGUAGUGACAAUAAAUACUGAUACGGGGCUCUUUUGGGUCUCGUAAUUGGAAUGAGAACAAUUUAAAUCCCUUAACGAGGAACAAUUGGAGGGCAAGUCUGGUGCCAGCAGCCGCGGUAAUUCCAGCUCCAAUAGCGUAUAUUAAAGUUGUUGCAGUUAAAAAGCUCGUAGUUGAACCUUGGGCCUGGCUGGCCGGUCCGCCUCACCGCGAGUACUGGUCCGGCUGGGCCUUUCCUUCUGGGGAACCUCAUGGCCUUCACUGGCUGUGGGGGGAACCAGGACUUUUACUGUGAAAAAAUUAGAGUGUUCAAAGCAGGCCUUUGCUCGAAUACAUUAGCAUGGAAUAAUAGAAUAGGACGUGUGGUUCUAUUUUGUUGGUUUCUAGGACCGCCGUAAUGAUUAAUAGGGAUAGUCGGGGGCGUCAGUAUUCAGCUGUCARAGGUGAAAUUCUUGGAUUUGCUGAAGACUAACUACUGCGAAAGCAUUCGCCAAGGAUGUUUUCAUUAAUCAGGGAACGAAAGUUAGGGAUCGAAGAMGAUCARAWACCGUCSUAGUCUUAACCAUAACUAUGCCRACUAGGGAUCSGACGGAUUYUAWAUGACCCSUUCGCMCCUUWCRAGAAAUCAAADUUUUGGUUYUGGGGAGUWWGGUCGCAAGGSURAAAYUAGAUKAMGGAAGCACCCACAGGSKKGRGCSGSGCCUWUUKMYYCMMCCGGGAACYYCACVGGUCMMACCAAUUAGWUKMMGAUKRAAVYYYCUCUKAYCUUUKAUGUGKUCAUGCSUYCUAAAGUCKG
This 1212-nucleotide ribosomal RNA is filed under the name Penicillium sp. F31A MAN-2013. Its description in RNAcentral is "partial 18S ribosomal RNA". It matches the Rfam family "Eukaryotic small subunit ribosomal RNA", at positions 41 to 1565 of the family's 1831-position model. The record is from RNAcentral. Lineage: Eukaryota; Fungi; Ascomycota; Eurotiomycetes; Eurotiales; Aspergillaceae.